This 465-nucleotide ribosomal RNA is filed under the name uncultured bacterium. RNAcentral describes it as "partial 16S ribosomal RNA". It matches the Rfam family "Bacterial small subunit ribosomal RNA", at positions 28 to 507 of the family's 1533-position model. The record is from RNAcentral.
GACGAACGCUGGCGGCGUGCUUAACACAUGCAAGUCGAACGGAAAGGCCCCCUUGUGGGGUACUCGAGUGGCGAACGGGUGAGUAACACGUGAGUAACCUACCCUUGACUUUGGGAUAACUUCAGGAAACUGGGGCUAAUACCGGAUAGGAGCUCCUGCUGCCUGGUGGGGGUUGGAAAGUUUCGUCGGUUGGGGAUGGACUCGCGGCUUAUCAGCUUGUUGGUGGGGUAGUGGCUCACCAAGGCUUUGACGGGUAGCCGGCCUGAGAGGGUGACCGGCCACAUUGGGCCUGAGAUACGGCCCAGACUCCUACGGGAGGCAGCAGUGGGGAAUAUUGCACAAUGGGCGGAAGCCUGAUGCAGCAACGCCGCGUGCGGGAUGACGGCCUUCGGGUUGUAAACCGCUUUCGCCUGUGACGAAGCGUGAGUGACGGUAAUGGGUAAAGAAGCACCGGCUAACUACGUG